UACGUAGGGUGCGAGCGUUGUCCGGAAUCACUGGGCGUAAAGGGCGCGUAGGUGGCCCGUUAAGUGGUCGGUGAAGUCCCGCGGCUCAACUGCGGGGCUGCCGAUCAGACUGGCGAGCUAGAGCACGGUAGGGGCAGAUGGAAUUCCCGGUGUAGCGGUGGAAUGCGUAGAGAUCGGGAAGAAUACCAGCGGCGAAGGCGUUCUGCUGGGCCGUUGCUGACACUGAGGCGCGACAGCGUGGGGAGCAAACAGG
RNAcentral lists this ribosomal RNA (253 nucleotides) under uncultured bacterium. RNAcentral describes it as "partial 16S ribosomal RNA". It matches the Rfam family "Bacterial small subunit ribosomal RNA", at positions 524 to 776 of the family's 1533-position model. The record is from RNAcentral.